RNAcentral lists this long non-coding RNA (226 nucleotides) under Elaeis guineensis (African oil palm). RNAcentral's name for it is "long non-coding RNA (EGUI_LNC024101)". Lineage: Eukaryota; Viridiplantae; Streptophyta; Magnoliopsida; Arecales; Arecaceae. The record is from RNAcentral.
UAUAAUCAUAUUUAUUCAUUUGGCUUUCGAACCAAAUAUAUCACUUCUUCAAUCCUCUUGGAGCUUUUCUAUGUAGCAUUGGGAUCCAUGCUACCCAUAAUCCACACAAGAAUUCUCAACUAUACAGAUAAUUAGGCUCCAUAUCUAGUAGGAUCUCGGUGCAUAACUAGGAUUAUAAUAUCUCUUAGCAUAAAAUUUCAAUGCACAUGACAUCUAAGUAUGGCAC